AGAGCAACAGGGAUUGCCCUAGUAACGGCGAGUGAAGCGGCAACAGCUCAAAUUUGAAAUCUGGCGUCUUUGGCGUCCGAGUUGUAAUUUGCAGAGGGCGCUUUGGCAUUGGCAGCGGUCCAAGUUCCUUGGAACAGGACGUCACAGAGGGUGAGAAUCCCGUACGUGGUCGCUAGCCUUUACCGUGUAAAGCCCCUUCGACGAGUCGAGUUGUUUGGGAAUGCAGCUCUAAAUGGGAGGUAAAUUUCUUCUAAAGCUAAAUACUGGCCAGAGACCGAUAGCGCACAAGUAGAGUGAUCGAAAGAUGAAAAGCACUUUGGAAAGAGAGUUAAAAAGCACGUGAAAUUGUUGAAAGGGAAGCGCUUGCAGCCAGACUUGCCUGUAGUUGCUCAUCCGGGUUUCUACCCGGUGCACUCUUCUAUAGGCAGGCCAGCAUCAGUUUGGGCGGUUGGAUAAAGGUCUCUGUCAUGUACCUCCUUUCGGGGAGAACUUAUAGGGGAGACGACAUGCAACCAGCCUGGACUGAGGUCCGCGCAUCUGCUAGGAUGCUGGCGUAAUGGCUGUAAGCGGCCCGUCUUGAAACACGGACCAAGGAGUCUAACAUCUAUGCGAGUGUUUGGGUGUCAAGCCCGAGCGCGUAAUGAAAGUGAACGGAGGUGGGAACCUUUCGGGGUGCACCAUCGACCGAUCCUGAUGUCUUCGGAUGGAUUUGAGUAAGAGCAUAGCUGUUGGGACCCGAAAGAUGGUGAACUAUGCUUGAAUAGGGUGAAGCCAGAGGAAACUCUGGUGGAGGCUCGCAGCGGUUCUGACGUGCAAAUCGAUCGUCAAAUUUGGGCAUAGGGGCGAAAGACUAAUCCGAA
Molecule: ribosomal RNA, 860 nt
Filed under: Leptosphaerulina saccharicola
Lineage: Eukaryota; Fungi; Ascomycota; Dothideomycetes; Pleosporales; Didymellaceae
Description: eukaryotic LSU rRNA
Rfam family: Eukaryotic large subunit ribosomal RNA
Source: RNAcentral